RNAcentral lists this ribosomal RNA (618 nucleotides) under Parasaissetia nigra. Its description in RNAcentral is "eukaryotic LSU rRNA". The stretch from base 278 to 618 matches the Rfam family "Eukaryotic large subunit ribosomal RNA", at positions 665 to 849 of the family's 3401-position model. Lineage: Eukaryota; Metazoa; Arthropoda; Insecta; Hemiptera; Coccidae. The record is from RNAcentral.
AUAUUUCCGCCGCCGACCCUCAACCGAGGGUGUCGGACGUCGCGACCCGUUCGCCCAGGUCGAUACUCAGGGACGCGUUUCAAGUUCGCCGGCGCGGUCGUCUCGGCGGCCGCGUCACGAUGGCGCGUUUCCGCUGUUCUCGACGCGGACGGUAGCUUUGCGCGCGGGUAAUCGACGCGGUCCUUUGUCCGGCGUCUCCGUACGUCGGACGGCGCUCGCGUCGACGCCGGUCAGCGACGAAUCUUCGGGCCUCUUUCCGACCCGUCUUGAAACACGGACCAAGGAGUCUAGCGUGCGCGCGAGUCGCGGGGUAUCCGAGUCGUCGUAGUCGUUUCGGCGGCGAACGCGACUCGUCACGAUACGAAACCCGUGUACGUACGUUGUGCGAAGGCGUAAUGAAAGUGAAAGGCGACGCUUCGCGCGUCGCCGGGGGAAGACGGUGUUCCGUGUACCACGUUUCGCGGUCAUACGUGUACCGCGGCCGGACACCCGCAUUCCCAGGGCGUCCCGCUCGUACGUCGGCCGUCGGGUCUCGGCUCGGCGGUCGGCGAACUGGGGCGCACCUACAGCGUGCACGCUGGUACCCGAAAGAUGGUGAACUAUGCCCGGCCAGGAUGA